GGUAAAAUGGCUGAUAAAAGCGAUAAAUUGUAAAUUUAUUCAUGAAAAUAUUUUCUUUUACCA
This 63-nucleotide transfer RNA is filed under the name Tomicus piniperda (common pine shoot beetle). RNAcentral's name for it is "tRNA-Tyr". Lineage: Eukaryota; Metazoa; Arthropoda; Insecta; Coleoptera; Curculionidae. The record is from RNAcentral.